AGGCGAAUAGCUCAGUUGGUAGAGUCGCGGUCUCCAAAACCGUUGGUCGUGGGUUCGAGUCCUACUUCGCCUGCCA
Molecule: transfer RNA, 76 nt
Filed under: Clostridiales bacterium
Lineage: Bacteria; Bacillati; Bacillota; Clostridia; Eubacteriales
Also listed under: 2 other names
Description: tRNA-Trp
Rfam family: tRNA
About the family: Transfer RNA (tRNA) molecules are approximately 80 nucleotides in length. Their secondary structure includes four short double-helical elements and three loops (D, anti-codon, and T loops).
Source: RNAcentral